This 459-nucleotide ribosomal RNA is filed under the name uncultured bacterium. Its description in RNAcentral is "partial 16S ribosomal RNA". It matches the Rfam family "Bacterial small subunit ribosomal RNA", at positions 338 to 795 of the family's 1533-position model. The record is from RNAcentral.
CCUACGGGAGGCAGCAGUGAGGAAUAUUGGUCAAUGGGAGAGAUCCUGAACCAGCCAAGCCGCGUGAGGGAAGACGGCCCUAUGGGUUGUAAACCUCUUUUGUCGGAGAACAAAACCCGGGACGUGUCCCGGACUGCGUGUAUCCGAAGAAAAAGCAUCGGCUAAAUCCGUGCCAGCAGCGGCGGUAAUACGGAGGAUGCGAGCGUUAUCCGGAUUUAUUGGGUUUAAAGGGUGCGUAGGCGGUCCGUUAAGUCAGUGGUAAAAUGGCGGGGCUCAACCCUGUCGAGCCGUUGAAACUGGCAGACUUGAGUUGGCGAGAAGUACGCGGAAUGCGCGGUGUAGCGGUGAAAUGCAUAGAUAUCGCGCAGAACUCCGAUUGCGAAGGCAGCGUACCGGCGCCAGACUGACGCUGAGGCACGAAAGCGUGGGGAUCGAACAGGAUUAGAUACCCUGGUAGUC